CGUGGAGUGAUUUGUCUGGUUUAUUCCGAUAACGAGCGAGACUCUAACCUACUAAAUAGUUGAUAUUUUUUAUAAGAGUAUACAACUUCUUAGAGGGAUUUGCGGUGUUUAGCCGAAGGAAAUUGAGCAAUAGCAGGUCUGUGAUGCCCUUAGAUGUCCGGGGCUGCACGCGUGCUACACUGGAAGAAUCAGCGUGUUUUUCCAUUGCCGAAAGGUAUUGGUAAACCGUUGAAACUCUUUCGUGUCCGGGAUAGGGAACUGAAAUUAUUUCCCUUAAACGAGGAAUUCCUAGUAAGUGUGAGUCAUUAGCUCACGUUGAAUACGUCCCUGCCCUUUGUAC
This 340-nucleotide ribosomal RNA is filed under the name Nematoda environmental sample. RNAcentral describes it as "bacterial SSU rRNA". It matches the Rfam family "Eukaryotic small subunit ribosomal RNA", at positions 1300 to 1665 of the family's 1831-position model. Lineage: Eukaryota; Metazoa; Nematoda. The record is from RNAcentral.